UGGAAGUUUGCAUGAGACCCAUCAGAAACCUUUGUCCCAUAUCCAAAUGAGCUUAGAAGACAUCCCGCAAAAAUUCCUGCACUGCUUGUGCAGUUUGCAAAUAUCAAAGGACUUGCACCAAUACUAAAUUUUGCCUUUAAGAAUGGGGACUUCUGAAAUUUAGUGUACAAAUCAAUUUCACUCUGAAAACAUAUGGAAAAGGUAUAAUUAUCUUUGAUGGCUACAGUGGCUCUCCAAUGAUCAAAUACAUGGCCCACAGAUGCUGCUGCACUAAGACCAGUAGGAAUGUUAAUUUCAGCCCAUACAUGAAGUUUGUCUGCAAGAAGAAACACUUGUCUAAUGAACACAACAAGCAAGCAAUGAUUUCCCUUAUAGGUGAGAUGUUGAAGAAGCAUGGAAAUAUUGUGUACAAUGCAGAUGGGGAUGCUGAUGUGGACCUCAUUCGUGCUGCAGUCUUAUCAUUAGAAAAUGCCAGUACAACAGUAAUUGGGGAAAUCACUGAUUUGCUGAUUCUGCUUCUGUCCCAUGCCAAGGACAAUAGUUUCAAGUUGUACUAUCGCAGUGACAUAAGAUGGGGACCAUUUCCCAAUCCUGUGUAUGAUAUCCUCUGCAUUCAAUCAUUGUCGGGUCAUGACAUCUGCAAGUUGCUCCUGUUUCUGCAUGUUUUCACGGGCUGUGAUAACACAUCCAUAAGUUUUUCAAUUGGGAAGUCCUUAGCAUUCAGCAAACUGAUGAAGGUGACUGAGCUUGAUUGUGUUGUAAUAUAUUGUUAAACGGAUUUACU
This is a long non-coding RNA of Pseudophryne corroboree (corroboree frog), 784 nucleotides long. RefSeq lists it as uncharacterized. The transcript has 3 exons. NCBI's taxonomy places the organism in Eukaryota, Metazoa, Chordata, Amphibia, Anura, Myobatrachidae. The record is from RefSeq and is a predicted model, not a curated record.